Molecule: transfer RNA, 74 nt
Filed under: Arthrobacter sp. YN
Lineage: Bacteria; Bacillati; Actinomycetota; Actinomycetes; Micrococcales; Micrococcaceae
Description: tRNA-Cys
Rfam family: tRNA
About the family: Transfer RNA (tRNA) molecules are approximately 80 nucleotides in length. Their secondary structure includes four short double-helical elements and three loops (D, anti-codon, and T loops). Further hydrogen bonds mediate the characteristic L-shaped molecular structure. tRNAs have two regions of fundamental functional importance: the anti-codon, which is responsible for specific mRNA codon recognition, and the 3' end, to which the tRNAs corresponding amino acid is attached (by aminoacyl-tRNA synthetases). tRNAs cope with the degeneracy of the genetic code in two manners: having more than one tRNA (with a specific anti-codon) for a particular amino acid; and 'wobble' base-pairing, i.e. permitting non-standard base-pairing at the 3rd anti-codon position.
Source: RNAcentral
CGUGGUGUACCCGAGAGGCCAGGGAGCUGCCUGCAAAGCAGCGCACGCGGGUUCGAAUCCCGCCACCACGUCUA